This is a long non-coding RNA of Ahaetulla prasina, 385 nucleotides long. RefSeq lists it as uncharacterized. The transcript has 2 exons. NCBI's taxonomy places the organism in Eukaryota, Metazoa, Chordata, Lepidosauria, Squamata, Colubridae. The record is from RefSeq and is a predicted model, not a curated record.
ACUGCACGGGUGGGGAAGACGAGCAGCCAGUCCUCAGCCAAUAGCCUGCAGGGAUGCCUUGGUUUAGCGAUCCUUUUCAAACUUCGUCCUCUUUUCUUCUUCUUUCCCGGAAAGUCUCAAGCUGUGUUAUUGGGUUGCAUCUACCACUUCACCGAAGCCAACUUCUCUGCAUCGAAAAUCCGGAAUUUCACCAAUGCCCUCCUGAGAAAUUACUGCCACGGCAACUCCGAGGCCAAUGGAUCUCAGAAUCAUGGAUGGACAAAAUGUAACCGGACACCAAGGCAUAGUAAUUAUUUACUUCUGGAACUCAGAGAAAUGUGGUACAGCUAUGAAGCAAGAUAGAAAAACUUAAUUGGAAAUAAAUCUUUACUGAACCAUGUUUAAA